Molecule: ribosomal RNA, 289 nt
Filed under: uncultured prokaryote
Description: partial 16S ribosomal RNA
Rfam family: Bacterial small subunit ribosomal RNA
Source: RNAcentral
UGAGGAAUUUUGCGCAAUGGGAGCAAUCCUGACGCAGCAACGCCGCGUGGGUGAUGAAGGCCUUCGGGUCGUAAAGCCCUGUCAGGUGGGAAGAAUGUCCCGGGACUGAACAGGUUCCGGGAGUGACGGUACCACCAGAGGAAGCACCGGCUAACUCCGUGCCAGCAGCCGCGGUAACACGGAGGGAGCAAGCGUUAUUCGGAAUUACUGGGCGUAAAGCGCGUGUAGGCGGUCCUGCAAGUCGGAUGUGAAAGCCCCGGGCGUAACCCGGGAAGUGCAUUGGAGACUG